CCUACGGGGCGCAGCAGUAGGGAAUCUUUCACAAUGGGCGAAAGCCUGAUGGAGCAACGCCGCGUGCAGGAUGAAGGCCUUCGGGUUGUAAACUGCUUUUAUAAGCGAGAAAUAUGAUGGUAACUUAUGAAUAAGGAUCGGCUAACUACGUGCCAGCAGCCGCGGUCAUACGUAGGAUCCGAGCAUUAUCCGGAGUGACUGGGUGUAAAGAGUUGCGUAGGUGGCAUAAUAAGUAGCUAGUGAAAUCUGGUGGCUCAACCAUUCAGACUAUUAGCUAAACUGUUAAGCUCGAGACCGUUAGGGGUAACUGGAAUUUCUAGUGUAGGAGUGAAAUCCGUAGAUAUUAGAAGGAACACCAAUAGCGUAGGCAGGUUGCUGGGACGGGUCUGACACUAAGGCACGAAAGCGUAGGGAGCAAACGGGAUUAGAUACCCGAGUAGUC
Molecule: ribosomal RNA, 442 nt
Filed under: uncultured bacterium
Lineage: Bacteria
Description: partial 16S ribosomal RNA
Rfam family: Bacterial small subunit ribosomal RNA
Source: RNAcentral